RNAcentral lists this long non-coding RNA (675 nucleotides) under Pan troglodytes (chimpanzee). RNAcentral describes it as "lncRNA (ENSPTRG00000052970.1)". The record is from RNAcentral. Lineage: Eukaryota; Metazoa; Chordata; Mammalia; Primates; Hominidae.
AUAUACUCUCUGCUCAAACAUCCCACUUUCCUUCUGUUCAUGGGAUGACUGAGGUUCCUUCUCCCUCAGGUCUUUCUCCUUCCUUACAUUGUAUGAAACUUCAAUGCUCCUUGUCACUUGGCUUAGUGCCUUGACCCUACCCAAUGUUUUUGUCAAAUUUCAGCCAACCGCACACAUAACUUCAGAAAGAGGCUUGGGGUCAACUAAACCAGGCUGGGUGCAAAUAGAGGACACGUCUAAGGCUGUUCAGGUCCAGGCUUUAGAGGAGCACUGAUUCACACAGAAGAAUGGGGGACUUUUACACUCCCAGGGUUACUCACUUUCAUUGUGUUUUGCAGCAUUCACUGAAAACAACAAUUUAUGUUCUUUUUUCACUUGCAGGAUGGAAAUUAUCUGGUCCCACCCCUGGAUAUGAUCAACCUUCAUAGACUGUGCAUUAUACAUGUAGCCAUCUCUGCGACCUGCAAAGAUGAAAAGGGAAAGCAGGAGAUGGAAACUGGUCAGCAGCCUUCUGGUUUAUCAGCCACACUUACAAAGGUCAAAUGUGCAAAGCGUCAGAAGACAGUGGUUAGAGUGAGAUUCUACAUGCUCUCAAUGAAGAAUAAAGGUAAGUUCAAUAUUUCAUGAAACAAAAAGUUUUUUAAGUUAUUAUAAAGGAAUGUUUCCAUAGCUACU